RNAcentral lists this ribosomal RNA (445 nucleotides) under uncultured bacterium. Its description in RNAcentral is "bacterial SSU rRNA". It matches the Rfam family "Bacterial small subunit ribosomal RNA", at positions 330 to 792 of the family's 1533-position model. The record is from RNAcentral.
UCCAGACUCCUACGGGAGGCAGCAGUGGGGAAUAUUGCACAAUGGGGGAAACCCUGAUGCAGCGACGCCGCGUGAGUGAAGAAGUAUCUCGGUACGUAAAGCUCUAUCAGCAGGGAAGAUAAUGACGGUACCUGACCAAGAAGCCCCAGCUAACUACGUGCCAGCAGCCGCGGUAAUACGUAGGGGGCAAGCGUUAUCCGGAAUUACUGGGUGUAAAGGGAGCGUAGACGGUGAUGCAAGUCUGGAGUGAAAGGCGGGGGCCCAACCCCCGGACUGCUCUGGAAACUGUGUAACUUGAGUGCAGGAGAGGUAAGCGGAAUUCCUAGUGUAGCGGUGAAAUGCGUAGAUAUUAGGAGGAACACCAGUGGCGAAGGCGGCUUUCUGGACAUUAACUGACGCUGAGGCUCGAAAGCGUGGGGAGCAAACAGGAUUAGAUACCCGUGUA